This 512-nucleotide ribosomal RNA is filed under the name melanized limestone ascomycete CR-2004. Its description in RNAcentral is "SSU rRNA". It matches the Rfam family "Eukaryotic small subunit ribosomal RNA", at positions 40 to 556 of the family's 1831-position model. The record is from RNAcentral. Lineage: Eukaryota; Fungi; Ascomycota.
AAGAUUAAGCCAUGCAUGUCUAAGUAUAAGCAACUAUACGGUGAAACUGCGAAUGGCUCAUUAAAUCAGUUAUCGUUUAUUUGAUAGUACCUUACUACAUGGAUAACCGUGGUAAUUCUAGAGCUAAUACAUGCUAAAAGCCUCGACUUCGGAAGAGGUGUACUUAUUAGAUAAAAAACCAAUGCCCUUCGGGGCUGCUUGGUGAAUCAUAAUAAUUUCACGAAUCGCAUGGCCUUGCGCCGGCGAUGGUUCAUUCAAAUUUCUGCCCUAUCAACUUUCGAUGGUAGGAUAGUGGCCUACCAUGGUUUCAACGGGUAACGGGGAAUUAGGGUUCGACUCCGGAGAGGGAGCCUGAGAAACGGCUACCACAUCCAAGGAAGGCAGCAGGCGCGCAAAUUACCCAAUGCCGACACGGCGAGGUAGUGACAAUAAAUACUGAUCCAGGGCUCUUUCGGGUCUUGGAAUUGGAAUGAGUACAAUUUAAAUCCCUUAACGAGGAACAACUGGAGGCA